GACGAACGCUGGCGGCGUGCCUAAUACAUGCAAGUCGAACGCACCGUUUAUACCUUAGCUUGCUACACCAUAGACUGUGAGUUGCGAACGGGUGAGUAACGCAUAGGUAACCUGCCUGUUAGCGUGGGAUAACUAUUGGAAACGAUAGCUAAUACCGCAUAAUAUUAAUUAUUGCAUGAUAAUUCAUUGAACGGUGCAAUUGCACCACUACCCGAUGGACCUGCGUUGUAUUAGCUCGUAGGGGAGGUAACGGCUCAACUAGGCUACGAUACAUAGCCGCCCUGAGAGGGUGAUCGGCCAAACUGGGACGGAAACACGGCCAAGAACACUACGGGAGGCAGCCGGAGGGAAUCUUCGGCAAUGGCCGAAAGGCUGACUGAGCAACGCCGCGUGAGUGAAGAAGGUUGUCGGAUCGUAAAGAUCUGUUGUAAGAGAAGAACGGGUGUGAGAGUGGAAAGUGCACACUGUGACGGUAUCUUAACAGAAAGGGACGGCUAACUACGUG
RNAcentral lists this ribosomal RNA (505 nucleotides) under uncultured bacterium. RNAcentral's name for it is "partial 16S ribosomal RNA". It matches the Rfam family "Bacterial small subunit ribosomal RNA", at positions 28 to 507 of the family's 1533-position model. The record is from RNAcentral.